UGGGGAAUCUUCCGCAAUGGACGAAAGUCUGACGGAGCAACGCCGCGUGAGUGAUGACGGUCUUCGGAUUGUAAAGCUCUGUUAAUCGGGACGAAUGGUUUGUGUGCAAAUAGUGCAUAGACAUGACGGUACCGGAAUAGAAAGCCACGGCUAACUACGUGCCAGCAGCCGCGGUAAUACGUAGGUGGCAAGCGUUGUCCGGAAUUAUUGGGCGUAAAGGGGGCGCAGGCUGCUUCUUAAGUCUGAUGUGAAAGCCCACGGCUUAACCGUGGAAGUGCAUUGGAAACUGGGAAGCUUGAGUACAGAAGAGGAAAGUGGAACUCCAUGUGUAGCGGUGGAAUGCGUAGAUAUAUGGAAGAACACCAGUGGCGAAAGCGACUUUCUGGUCUGUCACUGACGCUGAGGCCCGAAAGCGUGGGUAGCAAACAGG
This 430-nucleotide ribosomal RNA is filed under the name Verrucomicrobiota bacterium. Its description in RNAcentral is "Verrucomicrobia bacterium partial 16S ribosomal RNA". It matches the Rfam family "Bacterial small subunit ribosomal RNA", at positions 355 to 776 of the family's 1533-position model. Lineage: Bacteria; Pseudomonadati; Verrucomicrobiota. The record is from RNAcentral.